UAAUACUAUGCAGAAUAUCGGACGUCACUGAGAAGCUGCAGCCGUGGCGGGAGGAUUUUAAGUGUGGCGGCCCGCCACGGGAGAAUGAAUGUAGAGGAAACACUGAGUAAUCAUAAUAAUU
Molecule: non-coding RNA, 121 nt
Organism: Pimephales promelas (fathead minnow)
Lineage: Eukaryota; Metazoa; Chordata; Actinopteri; Cypriniformes; Leuciscidae
Source: RefSeq, a predicted model, not a curated record